AUUGAAUCUUGACCUCUUUUUAUGUGUGCAGGCAAACAUCAUCAUGAACCUGUUUUCUAAUAAUAAUCCAAACAUACAGGAGACUUGGAUUUAUGCAGAGACUUAUCUCAACUAACAGUCUUCGCACAUUUAACUUCCUCUAUUCUGUUGUUGGGGGAUUCCAGCUUCAUCUCCACAAUUCAGAUACAUCUCCACUGCCUUGCGGGUCAGUUUAUUGAGUGUGUUGGCAUCUGCAACCCUUCACCUGCUGUCCUAGCAUGCAACAGCAUAGAGGAUGGCACUGACCACAGCAGACUCAUAGAACAUCCAGAGCAUUGUCCGACAGUCUCAGAAAAUAGAGACGACUCUGGCCUUUCCUGUAAAGUGCAAUGGUGUUUUUAACCUAGUUCAGUUUAUUGUCUAUGUGGUCUACUCCAAGGUAUUUAUAGUCAAUUCCAAUUCAAUUCAAUUUUAUUUAUAUAGCUCCAAAUCACAACAAAAGUCGCCUCAAGGCGCUUCAUAGGUACAGAGAAAAACCCAACAAUCAAAUGACCCCCUAUGAGCAAGCACUUUGGCGACAGUGGGAAGGAAAAUCUCCCUUUUAACAGGAAGAAACCUCCGGCAGAACCAGGCUCAGGGAGGGGCGGCCAUCUGCUGCGACCGGUUGGGGUGAGAGAAGGAAAACAGGAUGAAAGACAUGCUGUCCUCCACAAUGUCCACAUCGACCCCCGGGAUUGAAGCAGCGGUCAAGGGUUUCCUAGUUUUCCUAAAAUCCACAAUCAAUGGAUGUGGAGCUGAUUCAGGCAAUUAGGUUGGAGAUUUAAGCUGCUCGCUGACACUGCUUCCUCGCCAGUUUGUCAACUACCGUAUGUUGGUAACCAGGCCUCACGCUUCAUGCCAGUAAGUCUCAAGUGCUUUACUUGUGAUCUUGUGUUCUAGUUGCUCCCGGGUAUUCCACAACGCUGAACAACUCAUCCUGGAAAUCUGGUUCACCUGCCUGCUUUUGGAAUUAUCUCCUUGCCUCACCUGCCUGCCCUCCGGCCCUUACACUACCACGGAACCUUCACUGCUCAGGACAGCCGACACACACCACCAAACCCACCCGGACCGCACCACCUCUCCAUCAACACUUACAUCACCCACCUGCACAGUAUACAUUUAUACUUUAUUCUUUUUUUUUUUUAUCCCUGAUCUCUUUCUUUCUGAGAUGUGGAGAGGAGAGGUUCAUCUCGUCAUCAUGAAACCUCCAGAGCUCUGCUGCUGUUGUACAUUCUCACCAAAACACUUCUCCCCCAUCUCAGAAUGAAUGACUUCAGAGGUUCAAAGAGGAACAAACAGGUGUCAGACCACUAACACAUCUCAUCUAUGUUCUUAUCGAGCUGCUAACAGACGUCACUGCUGCAGUAUUAUCAUGUUUUUUAAUUGAGGACUAAUUUAAGGGUGUAAAAACAAAUUCUUCACCCUCUUGUUUAAUAAUAAACCAAAUGUACAGAAGAGCUGCAUUAAUGUAAACACUUCUGUCAUCUAACAGCCUUUGCAGAUUUAACUUCCUCUAUUCAGUUGUUGAACUGGAGUUUUUUCUGCUGUUGUACAGUUUUUUAAAGUGACAAGGGAAUCUGCAAAAUGCAUUAAAUAUAAAAGGUAUUGAAUAUCUUAAAAGUUUGUACUCAUUUGAUAUCUACAUUUUAAGAGAGGGGGAGAUACGGCUGCCCAAAUGCUAUGAACUGAAUUAAUUUAGCAAGAGGAGAGUAAAGGAGUGAUGUCACUAUGAGGAAGUGAGCAGGAAGUUGAUGCUGUAUUCAUCUCUGAGACUGUCUCAUUUGUGAACGUGAGAGCAAGAACAGAGACUGAGAGAGACAGAGAAGCACGAUGGCUGCAUUCACAUGGAUUCAAAUGUCUUCAUUACUGAUACUGAUGCUUCAGUUUAAAGGUAAGUGUACAUAGAAACACAUUCAAUUAAUAAACUGCAUUAUUAUCACAAGUGUUACUUCUU
This is a long non-coding RNA of Oreochromis niloticus (Nile tilapia), 1972 nucleotides long. The record is from Ensembl. NCBI's taxonomy places the organism in Eukaryota, Metazoa, Chordata, Actinopteri, Cichliformes, Cichlidae.